ACGAAUAUCACAUUGAAAACACAGGUUCUCGUUCCGAAGUUAAGCAAUGUCAGGCCCGGUCAGUACUUGGGAGGGUGACCACUUGGGAACACCGAGGGCUGUAGGCU
Molecule: non-coding RNA, 107 nt
Organism: Cordylochernes scorpioides
Lineage: Eukaryota; Metazoa; Arthropoda; Arachnida; Pseudoscorpiones; Chernetidae
Source: the annotation of a GenBank genome assembly